AACUUCUGAAUGUUGACCUCGGAUCAGGUAGGAAUACCCGCUGAACUUAAGCAUAUCAAUAAGCGGAGGAAAAGAAACCAACAGGGAUUGCCCUAGUAACGGCGAGUGAAGCGGCAACAGCUCAAAUUUGAAAUCUGGCUUUCGGGCCCGAGUUGUAAUUUGUAGAGGAUACUUUUGAUGCGGUGCCUUCCGAGUUCCCUGGAACGGGACGCCAUAGAGGGUGAGAGCCCCGUCUGGUUGGAUGCCAAAUCUCUGUAAAGUUCCUUCGACGAGUCGAGUAGUUUGGGAAUGCUGCUCUAAAUGGGAGGUAUAUGUCUUCUAAAGCUAAAUAUUGGCCAGAGACCGAUAGCGCACAAGUAGA
RNAcentral lists this ribosomal RNA (361 nucleotides) under Fusarium sp. HMA-14. Its description in RNAcentral is "eukaryotic LSU rRNA". It matches the Rfam family "Eukaryotic large subunit ribosomal RNA", at positions 1 to 352 of the family's 3401-position model. Lineage: Eukaryota; Fungi; Ascomycota; Sordariomycetes; Hypocreales; Nectriaceae. The record is from RNAcentral.